UCAUUUCAAAUACUGGAAGGAAAUCUAGGGCAAAGUGUCUACCAAGGACUUCCUUCUAUUUCUUUCCCUCUUGGGCCUAUUGUUUUAAAAGACUUCAUUAAUUUAUUAAUUAAAAUGAUAAAACAAAUUAAGAUAUCAAGAUUUAACUCUCAAAGACAAUUCCUAGGAAGUAUAGAAUAACCAGUGCUAUCCCAGCGUAAAAUCCUGAAAAAGCAAAAAGACUAGGUGUUUAACCUAGCCUUUAUUCAACAGGUCAAUGCAAGUCAUGAGAAUAUUUUAUUCAGUGCUCAAUAAAAUAUUAUGCAAAUUAUUAAAAGAAUGGCAUUCUAAAAUUGAGUUAAAAAAGGGUAUUCACCACAUGGGUUGAUUGUAGAGCUAAGUGAAGCAACUCCAGUGGAAAGGCCACCUUUUGAAACUACUGAAGCCACAGAAGGUGUCGAAGAUGAAGUUGGUGUAGUAGAGGAGGCUGCUGAGGAUGGUAACCGUUCUCCAGACUCCAUAUCUAUGAGAAGGGAAAAUGUUAAUUCUCAGUAUCAGAUAAAAAAUUUUUUCAAAAGAAUUCAACAUAAACUUUUUGUAUACUUUUAAAAAUAUAAAAUAAAUUUCUAAAUACAUGUUCUUUGGAAAGAGAAAAUAUGGAGUAGAUAAAAACAAUAUAAUUUAAAAUACCAACUUAUGGAAUAAGUUUAAGUAUACCAAAUCCUCUUGAGUUUUCUUAUACCCCCCAAAUUAAUAGUGGUUUGAAUAUAGUAAUUUCACACAAAAUGUGUAUUGCCACAACCAUAAAUUAACAUGUUAUAUUCGUCUUAUUCAUCCCAAAUUACCUCACAUCAGUUCACUUGCAACAGAAUUCCUAUGUUACCUUAAUGAAUAAUUAAAAAAAAACACCACCACAUUUGAAUGGUCUGCCCCCUUAUCUUCUAAAUACAGAUAGCAAUAUACUUGUAGCUCUUAAGUGUCCAAGAAUCUGGCCUGGGAAUCCCCCCCAUACCCCUCAAAACAGGCAAAUACAUUUCAGAGUUUAACUUGAGGCAAGUUUAAACUAUGAUUUCAAAAUGGCCUUAGUUGUGACCCAUUUAAAAUGACAAAAGCACUUCUAAUCAUCUUUAUUAAUUUGUUGGGCUUUAUGGUUGUAGCCUUGCAUUGGUUUUAUUGCAAUAACUAAUGCUGAUAUUAAAAAUUUGGAAUAUAAUGGGCAUUUUAUAUUCAUUUUAAUACUCUAUGCAUGCACUGAUCCCACAAUCAAGCAAGAAAGUCAUUAAAUUCACAGAUGCUUUAAAGAGAACACGAUCUACAAUAAGAAAAAAGAUACUGCUUGCCUAUAAAUGAAUUUAUGAUCAGCCACAUGAAAACUCUUACCAUUUAAAUAAUCUAACUAUAGAAAGAUUUCUGUAUUGAAUUCUACAGGCAACUCACAGAAGAACUGUAUCUUUACUAAGAAAAAUAGUUGGAUUUCAUUUAAAAAAUUGACUAAUUAAAAUAAUGCAAGGCUAGUGUUUGCCUAAUUGUUGAUUGAAUCCAUAAAGUAUGUAGAUAAUUUUUCUCAUAAGAUAAGAUAUAUAUGGGGAAGGUAAUCUUAAAUUGACAUGCAACAUCAUUAGAAAGACCAUUUCAAUGAGCCUUCUAAUCAUAUAGAAUUCAAAAACUUCUCUUCAUAUUCUAGUAUUGCUGUAAAUCACUUCCAUAAAUGACAGUACUGCUAUGAUGAGUCUGUCCAUAUUCUUACAGAAUUUGUAUUUCUCUUUAUCAGCAUUCAUCAUGGGAAAGGCAUAGUUGCUACUGAUGGCUGCAUGCAACUAAUGUUUAAAGAGUAGGUUUUGGGUCAGCAACAGUAACUAAUGAACUCUGAGACAUGUGGCUGUCUGAUGGUAAGGCCCAUAAAAAUUAUUUUUACCAAGUCUAAUUUUCACUAAAUACAAAAAAUAUGGACUCUUUACCUAGAAGUGAGUUUAGGAAAAAGCUAUUUUUUCUUUAUAGCUGGUAACCUCAUUGUCUUCAAGAAUUCUAUCUGCUACGUAAAUAUACUAUGUAAAAAAAAUAAUGGAAGGGGUUUAAAAAAAUUUGCCUUUGUACUCCACAGCAGAAGUAAUUUGGUGACAUAAUAAGAUAAGCACUUUAGCUGAGUACUUGGCAUAUAAGAGAUCAAUAUAAAAUAGUCAUUAACUUUUUAUAGGAUAAUAUGCUAUGAAGUAUAGGUAUUUCUUAUUGUUGAUAAAACCUGAUUCAGGACUAAAGUAAGGAAAAUCAAGAAGGCAAAAGAAGUAGUCUUGUAUACAUACUGCUUAAUGGAUAUUACUUUCCCUGAAGAAUUAAUCUGAAUAAUUAUUUAAAUAAACGCACAUGCACAAAUAUGUGUGCGCGUGCACACACACACACACACUCACAGAUAAAGUAUCAUUAGGUAAAGUGAUAUAUACAACGUUGUUUGCUACAGUACUGCUUAAAAAUAAAAUUUAAAACUGGCAAUGAGAGUAGAACUAGAGCUAGUAGUAUAGGCUGGGGCCUUUUUUAGUUUCAGUAAAGGUGUAAUUUUUUUUCUUCUAU
This 2544-nucleotide long non-coding RNA is filed under the name Homo sapiens (human). RNAcentral describes it as "HSALNT0042070". The record is from RNAcentral. Lineage: Eukaryota; Metazoa; Chordata; Mammalia; Primates; Hominidae.